GAUGAACGCUGGCGGCGUGCCUAAUACAUGCCAGUCGAGCGAACGGACGAGAAGCUUGCUUCUCUGAUGUUAGCGGCGGACGGGUGAGUAACACGUGGAUAACCUACCUAUAAGACUGGGAUAACUUCGGGAAACCGGAGCUAAUACCGGAUAAUAUUUUGAACCGCAUGGUUCAAAAGUGAAAGACGGUCUUGCUGUCACUUAUAGAUGGAUCCGCGCUGCAUUAGCUAGUUGGUAAGGUAACGGCUUACCAAGGCAACGAUUCAUAGCCGACCUGAGAGGGUGAUCGGCCACACUGGAACUGAGACACGGUCCAGACUCCUACGGGAGGCAGCAGUAGGGAAUCUUCCGCAAUGGGCGAAAGCCUGACGGAGCAACGCCGCGUGAGUGAUGAAGGUCUUCGGAUCGUAAAACUCUGUUAUUAGGGAAGAACAUAUGUGUAAGUAACUGUGCACAUCUUGACGGUACCUAAUCAGAAAGCCACGGCUAACUACGUG
Molecule: ribosomal RNA, 497 nt
Filed under: uncultured bacterium
Lineage: Bacteria
Description: partial 16S ribosomal RNA
Rfam family: Bacterial small subunit ribosomal RNA
Source: RNAcentral